GCAAGUCGAACGGUAGCAGGUCCUUCGGGAUGCUGACGAGUGGCGGACGGGUGAGUAACGCGUAGGAACUUGCCCACUAGAGGGGGAAACCAGGUGGAAACGGCUGUUAAUAACGCAUAUUGCCUUAGGGUGAAAGGUGGCUUUGGCUGUCGCUAGUGGAGAGGCCUGCGUUGGAUUAGCUAGUUGGUGUGGUAAAGGCUCACCAAGGCUACGAUCCAUAGCUGUUUUGAGAGGAUGAUC
This 240-nucleotide ribosomal RNA is filed under the name uncultured bacterium. Its description in RNAcentral is "partial 16S ribosomal RNA". It matches the Rfam family "Bacterial small subunit ribosomal RNA", at positions 57 to 305 of the family's 1533-position model. The record is from RNAcentral.